Long non-coding RNA from Sphaerodactylus townsendi, 257 nucleotides. RefSeq lists it as uncharacterized. The record is from RefSeq and is a predicted model, not a curated record. The transcript has 3 exons. NCBI's taxonomy places the organism in Eukaryota, Metazoa, Chordata, Lepidosauria, Squamata, Sphaerodactylidae.
UCACCUUUCUUGGACCUAUUAUAUUUUGGUUUCCCUUCUCCAUCUUAUUAGUAUAUAUUUCUUAUUUUCCCUCUUCCUUAUUUAUUUCAUUUUCAAAUCUCAUCCAUUCUUCAUUAUUUUCUUCUCUUAUCCCCAUCAAACACUUUAUCUGAAAUGCUUCAUAGUAUUCUUGAAUUUUUGGGAUUCCCCCGCCCAAAUAUUUCUUUGUUAUAUACAGCAUUUUGUUCAUUACUCUUGAAUUCUUCUUAUAACUCUUG